RNAcentral lists this long non-coding RNA (1024 nucleotides) under Macaca mulatta (Rhesus monkey). RNAcentral's name for it is "lncRNA (ENSMMUG00000056229.1)". Lineage: Eukaryota; Metazoa; Chordata; Mammalia; Primates; Cercopithecidae. The record is from RNAcentral.
AUGGACCAAGAGUCUUCAGAAGUCAAUCCUUGCUGUCCUUCAUCUCUCUGUACAUCUAGAUUUUCUCUGCAUUUCUCCAGUUGCUUUUCUCCUCCUGCUUUCUUAUCGUUUUCUUUUCACUUUUGCUGCCUCUCGGCAAAUCCCUCAGCAUCCUCUACUUUGCCAUCUGUUGUGGGUCUUUCUCAUUCUUCUUUUCUCUCUCUCUGGUUUUCUACUGCUCUGUCUCCUGAUCCCUUUGGCCCACACAAUCACAGGAGGGUUUGCAGUAAGACGCCUGCAUCCCGGUGGAGCACAUUUUCCAGGGGCUGGAGCUGGGCAGGCAAGAACACCCCGUGUCACAGGACAGGCCCCGGGCACCUCCCCAACGAGGGCUCGGGGAAGCGGUGACUGUGCAGGGGACACCUGGGGAACUGCAGGGCCCGGCACAAGGAGGGAGGUGAAGGGGCGUGGGCGCGUUAAGACAAGGGUGGGGUCUGCAGGAUCCCAGGACAAGGCAGAGGACGCGGCCUUCCCGGGACUGGGGCAGCGGCGCUGCGCUCCAGGGGCCUACGGGGGCGAGAAUCCACCUAUCGGGUGAGGACUUUAAAAAGCGCGGGGCUGGAGGAGUCAGAAAAAGGUUUAGAGCAGGAAAACUACACGAUAGAAAGUGUAUACAUUGCCCUACAGCAGAAAGACGCGGGACGGGACCAGCCUCAGGGCGACCUAAAACCCAAAAGGAAGCGACCCCCGGCCUCUCACGGGGAUGUCUCAAUUUGCUCUGGGUGAAGGACGACGGCUGCGAAUAUCCAGGUUUUGGGGGAUCCCAAGUCCCAGUUUCAGAAGCGCUGGGCAUCUGGGAAGCGCAGAGUUAAUACAAGACAGGGCGAAACUCACGCGCCGUGGUGGGACCGUCACUCCACGAGAUCCGUUUCCUGGUCUACGCGAAUCUGCGCGCGCAGGACAGAAGCCAGGCCUGGGCGGGACCCGCGAGGAGGUGGGCGGGGCCUGGGCGAGGCGCGAGGCGGAGAGACCUUGCGCUUUAGAA